UUUCCCUUAUUGCCAUUGAAAUGCAAUUAUCGUGGACAUGGUGAAGGCUAGAUGGAGCGGAGCUGUCUCGUUUUUCUCCCUCCCACUGCGCGCAUUUCACCCCCCCUCGCCCUCUACCGUGCGCACUUCACCCCCUCUCUGUCUCUCCCUUCUCUAUAAAUACUCGAUUCUUCAUCUCCUACUCUCCUAACAAACCUCAUCCUUCACAACGGAAAAAAUAACCCUAGCUUUCGAAUUCUCACUAGAAACCUCAUCCAGAUUCGUCUCUUCCUCUCCCCCAAUCUUCCACCCGUCAUUGCUAUCGGAAUCCACUUCCUUGUUUACUGGAUCUUGAGAUCGUGCUGGAAAUAGAUCCGAUCGAGGUUUGUUUAACUUGAAUUUCAUUUCUAGCUUUGAGAGAUACACGCAGUUGCAGUGCCACAUGAUGGAUUUUGAAUCUCAUCAGCUGUUUAUUUGAACCAAAGAACUUUUGGGUUUGAGGAGCAUGAGGUUCUUCAAAAUAAGAAAUGAAUCAAUCCUUGGUAGAUGAUGCAAACGUGCCCUCAACGUCGAAUUCUCAAGCUGGACUUCCUCACUUUCCAUCCCCUUCUACCUCAAGGCAUGGUGGCAGUAAUGUAUUUCGAUUGUUGGCAUGGAGGGAGAUCUCUCAUGGGGCAAAGCGCUUGUCGAGAAGGCUGUGGGGAGGUGCUUCUAAGCAGACAGUUGAUUGCUUUGGGCCAAAAUUUGAAGUAACAGAGACAAGACAUGGUCUCAUUUCAUGGGUAGAAGCAGAGUCACUCCGGCAUUUGUCUGCCCAGUAUUGUCCUCUGUUGCCUCCUCCAAGGUCGACUAUUGCUGCGGCCUUUAGUCCAGAUGGAAAAACUCUUGCAUCUACACAUGGUGACCACACCGUUAAGAUAAUUGAUUGCCAAACUGGAAGCUGCUUAAAGGUGUUGAGUGGGCAUCGACGUACACCAUGGGUGGUUAGAUUCCACCCAGUGCAUUCAGAAAUACUUGCAAGUGGUAGCUUGGAUCAUGAAGUUCGCUUGUGGGAUGCAAAUACUGCAGAGUGUAUAGGAUCACGCGAUUUUUAUCGCCCUAUCGCUUCCAUUGCCUUCCAUGCCCAAGGGGAGCUUCUUGCUGUAGCAUCGGGUCACAAGCUGUACAUAUGGCACUACAACAAGAGAGGAGAGUCACCUUCUCCAACCAUUGUAUUGAAGACACGUCGUUCACUGAGGGCAGUGCAUUUUCACCCGCAUGCUGCUCCAUUUCUUCUGACUGCUGAGGUCAAUGAUCUGGAUGCUCCAGAUUCUCCAAUGACGCUUGCAACAUCUCCUGGUUACUUGCACUAUCCUCCCCCUGCUGUAUUCUUUGCGAAUGUUAGAAGUGGUGUUCUUCCUAGUUUAGAGGCUAAAGUGCCUCUCAUGCCUUUCCCUUGCUUGUUCUUGCCUACAUUUGUAAAACAUUGUGGAAGGACAUCUUUUCAGAAUGAUAAUAGGGCUACUAGUACUAAUGGGCAACAAAGUGCGGAUCCUUCUGCUUCUCCACAGAUUCAGACUGAUUCAAAUGGAGGAAACCGGCAUGACUAUUUGGUGACGCCGAUGGAUAUGUCUCCUGUAAUACCUUCUAGCUCAAAUCCUGUACCAGAAGACACAACUGCUAGUCUUCUGCCAAGUGAAAUGGAAAAUGAAGCCCUUGACUCUGCUAUGGAUCCUAUGGAUACCACCGAAGUGCAGCCUAUGGAUCUAGGUGAGCAAAGAAGCUCUCCCAGCACAGUGGAGAGAUCAGAUGAUGCCAACAAUACCUCACCAUUCAUUCUCCAACCCAAUGGCGUUGCUCCUCGGUUACCUAGUAGGCAUUCUAGGCUAGGGGUUGAGGCUGCAUCUGGUAACAUUCCUGGCAACUCAGACCUUCAAAUGCUAUUAAGAAGUGUUGAGGUUGGACAACUUCAUCAGUUCUUUCCUUCUGCUGAUCCAGCAUGUUGGGAGCUGCCUUUUUUGCAAGGUUGGUUAAUGGGUCAGACCCAUGCUGGCUUGCAUCCAGUGCCAGCUCUUAAUGACACUCCCCAAGAAAAUUCAUCUGCAAUUCGAGGAAAUGGGUCUGAGACUUCAGCAUCUGGUCUAUUGGCUUCUCGCAGUUCAGAGGCUCCAUUGGCUUCUUCAGCAAUGGCAGCCAGUGUUAGCCAAUGUAGGGGCACAGGACGAUCUGGUUCUCGGCAUCGUUCGCGGUCCCGUUUGGUGCCGGCAGGAUCUGGAGAGGGUGCUACUUUUGUUGGUAUUGCAAAUGAUGAUAUUGAUCCUCAAUCCGGUGUUGGUAGGCUCGAAUCUGAACUUGCUACAUCACUGGCUGCUGCUGCAGCUGCAGAAUUACCUUGCACUGUGAAGCUACGAAUAUGGCCACACAAUAUACAAGAUCCUUGUGCACCACUUGAUGCAGAAAAAUGCCGCUUAACUGUACCGCAUGCUGUCCUUUGCAGUGAAAUGGGUGCACACUUUUCACCUUGUGGGAGAUUUUUAGCAGCCUGUGUUGCAUGCGUGCUUCCUCGCAUGGAAGCUGAUCCUGGGCUACCAUUGCAUGCUCACCAAGAUGUAUCAGGGGUUGCAACAUCCCCAACACGACACCCGAUUUCAGCUCACCAAGUCAUGUAUGAGCUGCGCAUCUAUUCUCUUGAGAAGGCAACCUUCGGGUCGGUGCUUGCAUCAAGGGCAAUCAGAGCAGCUCACUGUUUGACUUCCAUUCAGUUCUCACCCACAUCUGAGCACAUAUUAUUGGCAUAUGGUCGCCGCCAUAGUUCUCUUCUUAGAAGCAUUGUUGUUGAUGGGGAGACAACAAUACCUAUUUACACAAUUUUGGAGGUUUAUAGAGUUUCAGAUAUGGAGCUUGUGAGAGUUCUUCCUAGUGCGGAAGAUGAGGUUAAUGUUGCAUGCUUUCACCCUUUAGUUGGAGGAGGGCUUGUUUAUGGAACUAAGGAGGGGAAGCUUAGAAUCCUUCAGUACGAUGGUUCUCAUGGCACAAAUUGCACAGGACCAAAUUUCUUUUUGGAGGAAAAUAUGCUCGAGGUCCAGACAUAUGCUUUGGAAUGCUAAAAAAGAGUGUUCAGUAUCCAUCUACGAGGUGUAUUACUGAUCUUGAAUGGUAUUAUGCUCCCAUGGAUGGGCCUGCAUUUGUGGCAGAGAGUGCUUGCCUAGCAAUUCUGGGACGCUACUUUAAGAGGCGUUGUUCUUCGUUUUUCAUCUUCAUCACCUGUAAAACCAAAACCCUUUUUUGCUUUUUGUUCCUUGAAAUGUAUACUCAGUUACGUGUUUCAAUAUAAGUUAUUCACAUGCCA
RNA transcript from Magnolia sinica, 3307 nucleotides. RefSeq lists it as uncharacterized. NCBI's taxonomy places the organism in Eukaryota, Viridiplantae, Streptophyta, Magnoliopsida, Magnoliales, Magnoliaceae. The record is from RefSeq and is a predicted model, not a curated record. The transcript is spliced from 18 exons.